GGGUGGGUUGUUCAGUGGUAGAAUUCUCGCCUUGCUUGUGGGAGACCCAGGUUUGAUUCCUGGCCAAUGCA
Molecule: transfer RNA, 71 nt
Filed under: Loxodonta africana (African savanna elephant)
Lineage: Eukaryota; Metazoa; Chordata; Mammalia; Proboscidea; Elephantidae
Rfam family: tRNA
About the family: Transfer RNA (tRNA) molecules are approximately 80 nucleotides in length. Their secondary structure includes four short double-helical elements and three loops (D, anti-codon, and T loops).
Source: Rfam by way of RNAcentral